Manihot esculenta (cassava) is the source of this 285-nucleotide long non-coding RNA. RefSeq lists it as uncharacterized. NCBI's taxonomy places the organism in Eukaryota, Viridiplantae, Streptophyta, Magnoliopsida, Malpighiales, Euphorbiaceae. The record is from RefSeq and is a predicted model, not a curated record. The transcript has 3 exons.
AUCUGCUCCAGCAUCAGCAGGAUCAACCACUGCUGUAGGCGGCACACAGUCAUUCCGACAGACCAUUUCACUCAUUAAUAACAAUUUACAUCCGUCGGAGAUGUGCAGUCGCAGGAUUACUCUGAUAAUAAAAGAAAGAUUGGUCGCGGAAGGGCACUGUUGGAAGACAGUGCCACAUGACACCAAGGAGUUUUAUUGGCAGGAAUUCAAGAAAUACUUCAUAUGGGACCAAGCAAUUGACAGCUUGGUCAAAAUUGCAUGGCAGAAAAAGGCAGCUGACAGAUA